UCUUGGCAACACAACUUUUAACAU
Molecule: microRNA, 24 nt
Filed under: Glycine max (soybean)
Lineage: Eukaryota; Viridiplantae; Streptophyta; Magnoliopsida; Fabales; Fabaceae
Description: gma-miR10436
Source: miRBase by way of RNAcentral